Molecule: ribosomal RNA, 615 nt
Filed under: Alphaproteobacteria bacterium PsV01s
Lineage: Bacteria; Pseudomonadati; Pseudomonadota; Alphaproteobacteria
Description: bacterial SSU rRNA
Rfam family: Bacterial small subunit ribosomal RNA
Source: RNAcentral
UGCAGUCGACGGAUCCUUCGGGAUUAGUGGCAGACGGGUGAGUAACGCGUGGGAAGCUACCUUGUGGUAGGGGACAACAGUUGGAAACGACUGCUAAUACCCUAUGAGCCCUAUGGGGGAAAGAUUUAUCGCCAUGAGAUGUGCCCGCGUUAGAUUAGCUAGUUGGUAAGGUAAUGGCUUACCAAGGCGACGAUCUAUAGCUGGUCUGAGAGGAUGAUCAGCCACACUGGGACUGAGACACGGCCCAGACUCCUACGGGAGGCAGCAGUGGGGAAUAUUGGACAAUGGGGGCAACCCUGAUCCAGCCAUGCCGCGUGUGUGAUGACGGCCUUAGGGUUGUAAAGCACUUUCAGCAGUGAAGAUAAUGACAUUAACUGCAGAAGAAGCCCCGGCUAACUUCGUGCCAGCAGCCGCGGUAAUACGAAGGGGGCUAGCGUUGUUCGGAAUCACUGGGCGUAAAGAGUACGUAGGCGGACUGAUAAGUUAGGGGUGAAAUCCCAAGGCUCAACCUUGGAACUGCCUUUGAUACUGUCAGUCUUGAGAUCGAGAGAGGUGAGUGGAACUCCGAGUGUAGAGGUGAAAUUCGUAGAUAUUCGGAAGAACACCAGUGGCGAA